GCAGAACGCGAAGAACCUUACCAGCUUUUGACAUGUCCGGUUUGAUCGGCAGAGAUGCCUUUCUUCAGUUCGGCUGGCCGGAACACAGGUGCUGCAUGGCGGUCGUCAGCUCGUGUCGUGAGAUGUUGGGUUAAGUCCCGCAACGAGCGCAACCCUCGCCCCUAGUUGCCAUCAUUCAGUUGGGAACUCUAGGGGGACUGCCGGUGAUAAGCCGCGAGGAAGGUGGGGAUGACGUCAAGUCCUCAUGGCCCUUACAGGCUGGGCUACACACGUGCUACAAUGGCGGUGACAAUGGGCAGCGAAAGGGCGACCUCGAGCUAAUCCCAAAAAGCCGUCUCAGUUCAGAUUGCACUCUGCAACUCGAGUGCAUGAAGGUGGAAUCGCUAGUAAUCGUGGAUCAGCAUGCCACGGUGAAUACGUUCCCGGGUCUUGUACACACCG
This 441-nucleotide ribosomal RNA is filed under the name uncultured bacterium. Its description in RNAcentral is "bacterial SSU rRNA". It matches the Rfam family "Bacterial small subunit ribosomal RNA", at positions 954 to 1392 of the family's 1533-position model. The record is from RNAcentral.